Molecule: ribosomal RNA, 253 nt
Filed under: uncultured bacterium
Lineage: Bacteria
Description: partial 16S ribosomal RNA
Rfam family: Bacterial small subunit ribosomal RNA
Source: RNAcentral
UACGUAGGGGGCAAGCGUUAUCCGGAUUUACUGGGUGUAAAGGGAGCGUAGGCGGUAAUGCAAGUCAGAAGUGUAAGCCCGGGGCUCAACUCCGGGACUGCUUUUGAAACUGUGUUGCUAGAUUGCAGGAGAGGUAAGUGGAAUUCCUAGUGUAGCGGUGAAAUGCGUAGAUAUUAGGAGGAACACCAGUGGCGAAGGCGGCUUACUGGACUGUAAAUGACGCUGAGGCUCGAAAGCGUGGGGAGCAAACAGG